CCAGGCUUGAACAGCGAGUGACCACUCCUGAAAGGGAGCUUCCGCAAGGACACUCGUAGAGGUGCUGCAUGGCUGUCGUCAGCUCGUGUCGUGAGAUGUUGGGUUAAGUCCCGCAACGAGCGCAACCCUUGUUUGCUGUUGCCAUCAGGUUAUGCUGGGCACUCUGCAAAGACUGCCGGUGAUAAACCGGAGGAAGGUGGGGAUGACGUCAAGUCAGCAUGGCCUUUAUGUCUGGGGCUACACACGUGCUACAAUGGCCGGUACAAACCGUCGCGAGCCCGCGAGGGGGAGCUAAUCGGAGAAAGCCGGUCUCAGUUCGGAUAGCAGGCUGCAACUCGCCUGCUUGAAGUUGGAAUCGCUAGUAAUCGCGGAUCAGCAUGCCGCGGUGAAUACGUUCCCG
RNAcentral lists this ribosomal RNA (400 nucleotides) under uncultured soil bacterium. Its description in RNAcentral is "bacterial SSU rRNA". It matches the Rfam family "Bacterial small subunit ribosomal RNA", at positions 975 to 1376 of the family's 1533-position model. The record is from RNAcentral.